UGAGUAAGCCGGAUGAUCGCGGGUGUUAGUGCAUGCAGAUGCUACGCAUCGGAGUGCAUAGCACGCGAGGAAAGUCCGGGCUCCAUAGGGCAGGGUGCCGGGUAAUACCCGGUGGAGGCAACUCCAAGGAUAGUGCAACAGAGAGAUACCGCUAACCUUCGUAAGAAGGCAGUAAGGGUGGAAAGGCGAGGUAAGAGCUCACCAGCGUUUGGGUAACUAAACGGCUAUGUAAACCCCAUCCGGAGCAAGACCAAAUAGAGAAGAAGCUUCCUAGAGAAGCAGGGAACUGCCCGUUCCUCUUCCGGGUAAGGUCGCUUGAGCGUUACGGUAACGUCGCGCCUAGAUAGAUGAUCAUCCAAGACAGAACCCGGCUUAUAGGCUUACUUAUUAA
RNAcentral lists this RNase P RNA (391 nucleotides) under Clostridiales bacterium GWB2_37_7. RNAcentral describes it as "RNase P RNA component class A". It matches the Rfam family "Bacterial RNase P class A". Rfam says of the family: Ribonuclease P (RNase P) is a ubiquitous endoribonuclease, found in archaea, bacteria and eukarya as well as chloroplasts and mitochondria. The record is from RNAcentral. Lineage: Bacteria; Bacillati; Bacillota; Clostridia; Eubacteriales.